AGAGUUUGAUCAUGGCUCAGAGUGAACGCUGGCGGCAGGCCUAACACAUGCAAGUCGAGCGGCAGCACGGGUAGCAAUACCUGGUGGCGAGCGGCGGACGGGUGAGGAAUACAUCGGAAUCUGCCUCGUCGUGGGGGAUAACGUAGGGAAACUUACGCUAAUACCGCAUACGACCGAGAGGUGAAAGCGGGGGAUCGCAAGACCUCGCGCGAUGAGAUGAGCCGAUGUCGGAUUAGCUAGUUGGCGGGGUAAGAGCCCACCAAGGCGACGAUCCGUAGCUGGUCUGAGAGGAUGAUCAGCCACACUGGAACUGAGACACGGUCCAGACUCCUACGGGAGGCAGC
Molecule: ribosomal RNA, 344 nt
Filed under: uncultured bacterium
Lineage: Bacteria
Description: bacterial SSU rRNA
Rfam family: Bacterial small subunit ribosomal RNA
Source: RNAcentral